Molecule: ribosomal RNA, 641 nt
Filed under: Kribbella sp. I13-01611
Lineage: Bacteria; Bacillati; Actinomycetota; Actinomycetes; Propionibacteriales; Kribbellaceae
Description: bacterial SSU rRNA
Rfam family: Bacterial small subunit ribosomal RNA
Source: RNAcentral
CGGCGAACGGGUGAGUAACACGUGAGCAACCUACCCUCAACUUUGGGAUAAGCCUCGGAAACGGGGUCUAAUACCGGAUAUGACUCUUUGCUUCAUGGUGGAGGGUUGAAAGUUCUGGCGGUUGGGGAUGGGCUCGCGGCCUAUCAGCUUGUUGGUGGGGUAAUGGCCUACCAAGGCUUCGACGGGUAGCCGGCCUGAGAGGGCGACCGGCCACACUGGGACUGAGACACGGCCCAGACUCCUACGGGAGGCAGCAGUGGGGAAUAUUGCGCAAUGGACGAAAGUCUGACGCAGCAACGCCGCGUGAGGGAUGACGGCCUUCGGGUUGUAAACCUCUUUCAGCAGGGACGAAGCGAGAGUGACGGUACCUGCAGAAGAAGGACCGGCCAACUACGUGCCAGCAGCCGCGGUAAUACGUAGGGUCCGAGCGUUGUCCGGAAUUAUUGGGCGUAAAGGGCUCGUAGGCGGUUCGUCACGUCGGGAGUGAAAACUCGGAGCUUAACUCCGAGCCUGCUUCCGAUACGGGCAGACUAGAGGUAGGCAGGGGAGAGCGGAACUCCUGGUGUAGCGGUGGAAUGCGCAGAUAUCAGGAAGAACACCGGUGGCGAAGGCGGCUCUCUGGGCCUUACCUGACGCUGAGG